GACGAAGGGGGCUAGUGUUGUUCGGAAUUACUGGGCGUAAAGCGCGUGUAGGUGGUUGUCCAAGUUGGAUGUGAAAGCCUUGAGCUCAACUCAAGAAAUGCAUUCAGGACUGGGCGGCUAGAGGACCGGAGAGGAUAGUGGAAUUCCCAGUGUAGUGGUGAAAUACGUAGAGAUUGGGAAGAACACCAGUGGCGAAGGCGGCUAUCUGGACGGUUUCUGACACUAAGACUCGAAAGCGUGGGGAGCAAACAGG
This 253-nucleotide ribosomal RNA is filed under the name uncultured bacterium. RNAcentral's name for it is "partial 16S ribosomal RNA". It matches the Rfam family "Bacterial small subunit ribosomal RNA", at positions 524 to 776 of the family's 1533-position model. The record is from RNAcentral.